Molecule: ribosomal RNA, 496 nt
Filed under: uncultured bacterium
Lineage: Bacteria
Description: partial 16S ribosomal RNA
Rfam family: Bacterial small subunit ribosomal RNA
Source: RNAcentral
GAUGAACGCUGGCGGCGUGCCUAAUACAUGCAAGUCGAGCGAACAGACGAGGAGCUUGCUCCUCUGACGUUAGCGGCGGACGGGUGAGUAACACGUGGAUAACCUACCUAUAAGACUGGGAUAACUUCGGGAAACCGGAGCUAAUACCGGAUAAUAUAUUGAACCGCAUGGUUCAAUAGUGAAAGACGGUUUUGCUGUCACUUAUAGAUGGAUCCGCGCCGCAUUAGCUAGUUGGUAAGGUAACGGCUUACCAAGGCAACGAUGCGUAGCCGACCUGAGAGGGGGAUCGGCCAAACGGGACAGGGGACACGGCCCAGCCUCCGAGGGGGGGCAGCAGGAGGGAAUCUUCCGCAAGGGGGGAAAGCCUGACGGAGCAACGCCGGGGGAGUGAUGAAGGUCUUCGGAUGGAAAAACCCUGUUAUGAGGGAAAAACAAAUGUUUAAGUAACCAUGCCCGUCUGGACGGUACCAAAGCAGAAAGCCCCGGCAAACUACGG